This 546-nucleotide ribosomal RNA is filed under the name uncultured Janibacter sp. Its description in RNAcentral is "bacterial SSU rRNA". It matches the Rfam family "Bacterial small subunit ribosomal RNA", at positions 843 to 1390 of the family's 1533-position model. Lineage: Bacteria; Bacillati; Actinomycetota; Actinomycetes; Micrococcales; Intrasporangiaceae. The record is from RNAcentral.
CGGCCGCGUCGACCGCAUUAAGCGCCCCGCCUGGGGAGUACGGCCGCAAGGCUAAAACUCAAAGGAAUUGACGGGGGCCCGCACAAGCGGCGGAGCAUGCGGAUUAAUUCGAUGCAACGCGAAGAACCUUACCAAGGCUUGACAUAUACCGGAAACAUCCAGAGAUGGGUGCCCCUUUUAGGUCGGUAUACAGGUGGUGCAUGGUUGUCGUCAGCUCGUGUCGUGAGAUGUUGGGUUAAGUCCCGCAACGAGCGCAACCCUCGUUCUAUGUUGCCAGCACGUUAUGGUGGGGACUCAUGGAAGACUGCCGGGGUCAACUCGGAGGAAGGUGGGGAUGACGUCAAAUCAUCAUGCCCCUUAUGUCUUGGGCUUCACGCAUGCUACAAUGGCCGGUACAAAGGGCUGCGAAACCGUAGGUGGAGCGAAUCCCAAAAAACCGGUCUCAGUUCGGAUUGGGGUCUGCAACUCGACCCCAUGAAGUCGGAGUCGCUAGUAAUCGCAGAUCAGCAACGCUGCGGUGAAUACCGUUCCGGGCCUUGUACACCG